ACUUAGGCAUAAAAACAUUAUAAUGUACAUUAAGAAGGAUAACUGCUUAGUAUGUUUGUAACUUACAGACAAUCCUGAUUUCACCAUGAAAAUGUGUCCAGUAGUUAUGAACGACUUUGAAGAUCAUGAGAAUUAAUUGGUCAAAAAGUGUGGGAACCCUGAUAUUAGUUGGGGAAAUAUGCUUUAUGGUUGGAGAGAGUUAAUUUCAGUGUCUUGUACAGGUGUACUUGUUCUGCAGUGGUUUCUCCGAGAGUCUAAUGGGGCCUUAAGAGAGCCAGAGGGGAAGCACAACACUUCUAGAUUCCAGAGAGCUGCUCAAGCACUUCACUUCUGACAAACUGCCUAGCGGAGGACUACUGCCAUUGCUUAGAGCUGAACAUGCAUUCCGGAUGUCUCCUGACAUAACACCCAGGGAAGUGACCAAGCUCCCAUUUUAACAGGCUGCCAGAUGCCACAACCAUGGAAUAAACAUUCAGGUUCUGUCUGGUUGUACAUAAGCCUCUUGACCGAGACCACGGUUUUGUGAAGCUGCAAUCUCGUCUAUGAAGAUAUGAGUACCUGCUGCACAGUGAACUGGCCAGCCUCAAAUGCCACUACCGUGAAACAGACUCACACAUCCAACAACACAAGAGAUCUGUUUAGCUUUGCAAAGUCGCCAUGACAGACCGUCUGUUUGGGCUUUCAACCGAGCUACUGAUUCACUGACACUGGACGGCUGACAGUAGAACAGCAGAUCUACAACAAGAAAAUAUGUCGAAGCACGGGUAGUGGUUGAAAACGCUUUUGGUAGACUGAAGGGAAGGUGGCGUUGCCUCAUGAAAAGAAAUGACUGUGAUGUUACAAUUGUGAAAUCUAUGAUUCUUACUUGCUGUGCUUUGCAUAACCUUUGUGAGAGUCACGGGGAGGACUAUGACAAUGACUGGGAUGCACCUGCAGCAGCAGAGCCUGUGGUGGCAGUGGCACAGGGUGUUGAGGAGGAGGGCAGAGAUGUACGAGAGGGUCUGAUGCGUUAUUUUAAUUGCUAAAUAAAUACAUUAUCAUUAAAUAUGUUGUCUCUGCUGU
Molecule: long non-coding RNA, 1062 nt
Organism: Xyrauchen texanus (razorback sucker)
Lineage: Eukaryota; Metazoa; Chordata; Actinopteri; Cypriniformes; Catostomidae
Exons: 4
Source: RefSeq, a predicted model, not a curated record